CAACGUGGGAACCUGACGCGCGGUGGGGGAUAACAGCGGGAAACCGCUGCUAAUACCGCAUAUGGUCAUCUGAAGAGAUUCAGAUGAGUAAAGCCCUUUUUGGGCACCAUGCGAGGGGCCCGCGGCCGAUUAGUUAGUUGGUGAGGUAAUGGCUCACCAAGGCGGCGAUCGGUAGCUGGUCUGAGAGGAUGGUCAGCCACACUGGGACUGAGACACGGCCCAG
RNAcentral lists this ribosomal RNA (223 nucleotides) under uncultured bacterium. RNAcentral's name for it is "partial 16S ribosomal RNA". It matches the Rfam family "Bacterial small subunit ribosomal RNA", at positions 113 to 334 of the family's 1533-position model. The record is from RNAcentral.